RNAcentral lists this ribosomal RNA (431 nucleotides) under uncultured bacterium. RNAcentral's name for it is "partial 16S ribosomal RNA". It matches the Rfam family "Bacterial small subunit ribosomal RNA", at positions 338 to 795 of the family's 1533-position model. The record is from RNAcentral.
CCUACGGGAGGCAGCAGUGGGGAAUAUUGGACAAUGGGCGCAAGCCUGAUCCAGCCAUGCCGCGUGAGUGAUGAAGGCCCUAGGGUUGUAAAGCUCUUUCGUCAGGGACGCGGUACCUGAAGAAGAAGCCCCGGCUAACUUCGUGCCAGCAGCCGCGGUAAUACGAAGGGGGCUAGCGUUGUUCGGAUUUACUGGGCGUAAAGCGCACGUAGGCGGAUCUUUAAGUCAGGGGUGAAAUCCCAAGGCUCAACCUUGGAACUGCCUUUGAUACUGGGGAUCUCGAGUUCGGGAGAGGUGAGUGGAACUGCGAGUGUAGAGGUGAAAUUCGUAGAUAUUCGCAAGAACACCAGUGGCGAAGGCGGCUCACUGGCCGAACUGACGCUGAGGUGCGAAAGCGUGGGGAGCAAACAGGAUUAGAUACCCUUGUAGUC